GUUGUAUGGUUAAGUGACUAAGCGUACAGGGCGGAUGCCUUGGCAAUCAGAGGCGAAGAAGGACGUGCUAAUCUGCGAAAAGCUUGGAUGAGUCGAUAAGAGGCGUUUAAUCCAAGAUGUCCGAAUGGGGAAACCCGAUGGAUGAAGAAUCCAUCAUUUCAUUGUGAAUACAUAGCAAUGAAAGGCGAACCGGGAGAACUGAAACAUCUAAGUACCCCGAGGAAAAGAAAUCAACCGAGAUUCUGUGAGUAGCGGCGAGCGAAAGCGGAAGAGCCAGUAAGUUUUAGCUAGUGUAUUAGAGGAAUUGGCUGGGAAGCCAAAUCAAAGAGGGUGAUAAUCCCGUACUCGAAAAUACGAUAGUGGAACUAAGCUUACGAUAAGUAGGGCGGGACACGAGAAAUCCUGUUUGAAGAUGGGGGGACCAUCCUCCAAGGCUAAAUACUCCUGAUUGACCGAUAGUGAACCAGUACUGUGAAGGAAAGGCGAAAAGAACCCCGGUGAGGGGAGUGAAAUAGAACCUGAAACCCUGUACGUACAAGCAGUAGGAGCGAGGGCAACCUUGUGACUGCGUACCUUUUGUAUAAUGGGUCAGCGACUUAUAUUUUGUAGCGAGGUUAACUGAAUAAGGGAGCCGAAGGGAAACCGAGUCUUAACUGGGCGUUGAGUUGCAAGGUAUAGACCCGAAACCCGGUGAUCUAGCCAUGGGCAGGUUGAAGGUUGGGUAACACUAACUGGAGGACCGAACCGACUAAUGUUGAAAAAUUAGCGGAUGACUUGUGGCUGGGGGUGAAAGGCCAAUCAAACCGGGAGAUAGCUGGUUCUCCCCGAAAUCUAUUUAGGUAGAGCCUUGAGCGGACACCUUCGGGGGUAGAGCACUGUUUCGGCUAGGGGUCCAUCCCGGAUUACCAACCCGAUGCAAACUGCGAAUACCGAAGAGUGAUACUCAGGAGACACACGGCGGGUGCUAACGUUCGUCGUGGAGAGGGAAACAACCCAGACCGCCAGCUAAGGUCCCAAAGUCUAUAUUAAGUGGGAAACGAAGUGGGAAGGCUUAGACAGCUAGGAUGUUGGCUUAGAAGCAGCCAUCAUUUAAAGAAAGCGUAAUAGCUCACUAGUCGAGUCGGCCUGCGCGGAAGAUGUAACGGGGCUCAAAUAUAGCACCGAAGCUGCGGCAUCAGAAUUUAUUCUGUUGGGUAGGGGAGCGUUGUGUAAGCGGAAGAAGGUGGCUCGAGAGGGUUGCUGGACGUAUCACAAGUGCGAAUGCUGACAUAAGUAACGAUAAAACGAGUGAAAAACUCGUUCGCCGGAAGACCAAGGGUUCCUGUCCAACGUUAAUCGGGGCAGGGUGAGUCGGCCCCUAAGGCGAGGCUGAAAAGCGUAGUCGAUGGGAAACGGGUUAAUAUUCCCGUACUUGGUAAAGCUGCGAUGUGGGGACGGAGAAGGUUAGGUAAGCGGACUGUUGGAAAUGUUCGUUUAAGCAGGUAGUUGGAAAGGGUAGGCAAAUCCGCUCUUUCAUACAACAACGAGACGUGAUGACGAGUUCCUAAGGGAAUGAAGUUACCGAUACCCGGCUUCCAGGAAAAGCCACUAAGCGAAAGGCUUUACUAAACCGUACUGAAAACCGACACAGGUGGUCAGGUAGAGAAUACUCAGGCGCUUGAGAGAACUCGGGUGAAGGAACUAGGCAAAAUAGCACCGUAACUUCGGGAGAAGGUGCGCUUACAGUAAUUGUAGUCCCUUGCGGAUGAAGGUGAAGUAAGUCGAAGAUACCAGCUGGCUGCAACUGUUUAUUAAAAACACAGCACUCUGCAAACACGAAAGUGGACGUAUAGGGUGUGAUGCCUGCCCGGUGCUGGAAGGUUAAUUGAUGGUGUUAUCGAAAGAGAAGCUCCUGAUCGAAGCCCCAGUAAACGGCGGCCGUAACUAUAACGGUCCUAAGGUAGCGAAAUUCCUUGUCGGGUAAGUUCCGACCUGCACGAAUGGCAUAAUGAUGGCCAGGCUGUCUCCACCCGAGACUCAGUGAAAUUGAAAUCGCCGUGAAGAUGCGGUGUACCCGCGGCUAGACGGAAAGACCCCGUGAACCUUUACUAUAGCUUGACACUGAACAUUGAAUUUUGAUGUGUAGGAUAGGUGGGAGCCUUUGAAGCAGGAACGCCAGUUUCUGUGGAGGCGACCUUGAAAUACCACCCUUUAACGUUUGAUGUUCUAACGAAGUGCCUGAAACGGGUACUCGGACAGUGUCUGGUGGGUAGUUUGACUGGGGCGGUCUCCUCCCAAAGCGUAACGGAGGAGCACGAAGGUUUGCUAAUGACGGUCGGACAUCGUCAGGUUAGUGCAAUGGUAUAAGCAAGCUUAACUGCGAGACGGACAAGUCGAGCAGGUGCGAAAGCAGGUCAUAGUGAUCCGGUGGUUCUGAAUGGAAGGGCCAUCGCUCAACGGAUAAAAGGUACUCCGGGGAUAACAGGCUGAUACCGCCCAAGAGUUCAUAUCGACGGCGGUGUUUGGCACCUCGAUGUCGGCUCAUCACAUCCUGGGGCUGAAGUAGGUCCCAAGGGUAUGGCUGUUCGCCAUUUAAAGUGGUACGCGAGCUGGGUUUAGAACGUCGUGAGACAGUUCGGUCCCUAUCUGCCGUGGGCGUUGGAUGAUUGAUUGGGGCUGCUCCUAGUACGAGAGGACCGGAGUGGACGCAUCACUGGUGUUCCAGUUGUCUCGCCAGAGGCAUUGCUGGGUAGCUAAAUGCGGAAGAGAUAAGUGCUGAAAGCAUCUAAGCACGAAACUUGCCAAGAGAUGAGUCAUCCCUGACUUUAAGUCAGUAAGGGUUGUUUAAGACUAAGACGUAGAUAGGUUGGGUGUGUAAGUGUAGUGAUACAUUGAGCUAACCAAUACUAAUUGCCCGAGAGGCUUAACCAUACAACGCUCAAG
RNAcentral lists this ribosomal RNA (2922 nucleotides) under Pasteurella multocida. RNAcentral describes it as "bacterial LSU rRNA". It matches the Rfam family "Bacterial large subunit ribosomal RNA". Lineage: Bacteria; Pseudomonadati; Pseudomonadota; Gammaproteobacteria; Pasteurellales; Pasteurellaceae. The record is from RNAcentral.